UACGUAGGGGGCGAGCGUUGUCCGGAUUCAUUGGGCGUAAAGAGCUCGUAGGCGGUUCGGUUAGUCAGAUGUGAAAACUCCGGGCUCAACUCGGAGAGGCCAUCUGAUACUGCCGUGACUGGAGUUCGGUAGAGGAGUGUGGAAUUCCCGGUGUAGCGGUGAAAUGCGUAGAGAUCGGGUGGAACACCAGUGGCGAAGGCGGCAUCCUGGCCCUGACCUGACGCUGAGGCGCGAGAGCGUGGGGAGCAAACGGG
RNAcentral lists this ribosomal RNA (254 nucleotides) under uncultured bacterium. Its description in RNAcentral is "partial 16S ribosomal RNA". It matches the Rfam family "Bacterial small subunit ribosomal RNA", at positions 524 to 776 of the family's 1533-position model. The record is from RNAcentral.